AGAGUUUGAUCCUGGCUCAGAACGAACGCUGGCGGCAGGCCUAAUACAUGCAAGUCGAGCGCACCCUUGUGGUGAGCGGCGGACGGGUUAGUAACGCGUGGGAACGUGCCCUUCUCUAAGGAAUAGCCUCUGGAAACGGAGAGUAAUACCUUAUACGCCCUUCGGGGGAAAGAUUUAUCGGAGAAGGAUCGGCCCGCGUUAGAUUAGAUAGUUGGUGGGGUAACGGCCUACCAAGUCUACGAUCUAUAGCUGGUUUUAGAGGAUGAUCAGCAACACUGGGACUGAGACACGGCCCAGACUCCUACGGGAGGCAGCAGUAGGGAAUCUUGGACAAUGGGGGCAACCCUGAUCCAGCCAUGCCGCGUGAGUGAAGAAGGCCUUAGGGUCGUAAAGCUCUUUCGCCUGUGAUGAUAAUGACAGUAGCAGGUAAAGAAACCCCGGCUAACUCCGUGCCAGCAGCCGCGGUAAUACGGAGGGGGUUAGCGUUGUUCGGAAUUACUGGGCGUAAAGCGCGCGUAGGCGGAUUGGAAAGUUAGAGGUGAAAUCCCGGGGCUCAACCCCGGAACUGCCUUUAAAACUCCCAGUCUUGAGUUCGAGAGAGGUGAGUGGAAUUCCAAGUGUAGAGGUGAAAUUCGUAGAUAUUUGGAGGAACACCAGUGGCGAAGGCGGCUCACUGGCUCGAUACUGACGCUGAG
Molecule: ribosomal RNA, 695 nt
Filed under: uncultured marine microorganism
Description: bacterial SSU rRNA
Rfam family: Bacterial small subunit ribosomal RNA
Source: RNAcentral